GCUUUCUUCAGCAGGACACAUAGUAAAAUUGGAAUGAUGCAGAAAAGAUUAGCAUGACCCCUGUGCAAGGGUGACUGCAAACUUGUGAAGCAUUAAUUUUUUUU
Small nuclear RNA from Heterocephalus glaber (naked mole-rat), 104 nucleotides. Lineage: Eukaryota; Metazoa; Chordata; Mammalia; Rodentia; Bathyergidae. The record is from Ensembl.